Molecule: ribosomal RNA, 247 nt
Filed under: uncultured bacterium
Lineage: Bacteria
Description: partial 16S ribosomal RNA
Rfam family: Bacterial small subunit ribosomal RNA
Source: RNAcentral
AGAGUUUGAUCAUGGCUCAGGACGAACGCUGGCGGCGCGCCUAACACAUGCAAGUCGAACGGAGAUUACAGGCGGAAGUUUUCGGAUGGAAGCUUGUAAACUUAGUGGCGGACGGGUGAGUAACACGUGAGCAACCUGCCUAUCAGAGGGGGAUAACGAUUUGGAAAACGAUCGCUAAUACCGCAUGACAUAGCGGAACCGCAUGGUUCUGUUAUCAAAGAUUUUAUCGCUGAUAGAUGGGCUCGCG